GAUGAAGAACGUAGCGAAAUGCGAUACGUAAUGUGAAUUGCAGAAUUCAGUGAAUCAUCGAAUCUUUGAACGCAUAUUGCGCUCUUUGGUAUUCCGAAGAGCAUGCUUGUUUGAGUAUCAGUAAACACCUCAAAGCUUUUGGAUUUUUUAAUCGAAAAGCUUUGGACUUGAGCAAUCCCAACACCAAUCUUUUUGAGAUCGGUGGCGGGUUGCUUGAAAUGCAGGUGCAGCUGGACAUUCUCCUGAGCUAAAAGCAUAUUCAUUUAGUCCCGUCAAACGGAUUAUUACUUUUGCUGCAGCUAACAUAAAGGGAGUUUGACCGUAUUGGCUGACUGAUGCAGGAUUUCACAAGGGUUGGCAACGAUUCUUGUUAAACUCGAUCUCAAAUCAAGUAAGACUACCCGCUGAACUUAAGCAUAUCAAUAAGCGGAGGA
Molecule: unclassified non-coding RNA, 434 nt
Filed under: soil metagenome
Description: partial contains 5.8S ribosomal RNA, internal transcribed spacer 2, and large subunit ribosomal RNA
Rfam family: 5.8S ribosomal RNA (bases 1-120)
Source: RNAcentral